Long non-coding RNA from Cornus florida, 627 nucleotides. RefSeq lists it as uncharacterized. Lineage: Eukaryota; Viridiplantae; Streptophyta; Magnoliopsida; Cornales; Cornaceae. The transcript has 5 exons. The record is from RefSeq and is a predicted model, not a curated record.
CGCCUGUAGCCAAACGUGAGAAUUAGGUUCACCACUGCUUGAUUGAAACCUAGUAAAGAAAAAAUGGCAAUUAGAAAAAAAAAAAAGGCGAAAGAAGCACCUGUGGGUUUCGUGUAAGAUAAUCAUAAGUUAUUCAUAACCCAGUUACCUCUGUUCUCUAUUAGGGCUUUUAGGUACGGAAACCCAGUCUCUGCCUACUGCUCUGCCUAAGGUUUUUGAUUUGUGUUUAGUUCAAACAAGAUGUGUGAAAGUGUAGUUAUAAAAACCCUUGGUAGCGUUUUUACCGGGUUGUACUUUCUGGCUGGAUGUAUUGCUGCGGAGCAAGUUGGUUGCGGGGCGUCUCGACUACUGCAUAGGAUCAAAAAGAGGGGGGCUGAAGGGAAAGUUGAUAAGAAUGGUGGUGAGUAAAGACAGGCUUAUGGUAAUGAGCUGGCGUUAAUGAGUAUGGGUAACCUAUUAUGAGCAUAACACUAUUAAAUUAUGUCGACUUGUAAUGGAUUUAUGUUGGUAAAGAGUUUUAAUUGGGCUCCGGGUUUGCCAGCUGAUGCGAGACCAAUACUACGUAUCCUUGUUGGUUAGAAAAAUUAUAUUAUUAUAUAUGAAAAUUAUUGUAGUUUUAAUUAUCAA